RNAcentral lists this ribosomal RNA (93 nucleotides) under Glutamicibacter sp. HZAU. Its description in RNAcentral is "partial 23S ribosomal RNA". Lineage: Bacteria; Bacillati; Actinomycetota; Actinomycetes; Micrococcales; Micrococcaceae. The record is from RNAcentral.
AGACCACUGGGUUGAUAGGCAGGAUGUGGAAGCAAGGACUGAAGACUUGUGCAGCUGACCUGUACUAAUAGGCCGAUGGCUUACAACACACAA